This 706-nucleotide ribosomal RNA is filed under the name uncultured bacterium. RNAcentral describes it as "bacterial SSU rRNA". It matches the Rfam family "Bacterial small subunit ribosomal RNA", at positions 642 to 1357 of the family's 1533-position model. The record is from RNAcentral.
UAGAGAAUGACAGAGGCAACUGGAAUUCCACAUGUAGGGGUAAAAUCCGUUGAUAUGUGGAGGAACACCAAAAGCGAAGGCAGGUUGCUGGGUUAUUUCUGACGCUGAGGAACGAAAGCGUGGGGAGCAAACAGGAUUAGAUACCCUGGUAGUCCACGCCGUAAACGAUGGAUACUCGAUGUAGGGAGGAAUCGACCCCUCUCUGUGUCUAAGCUAACGCGUUAAGUAUCCCGCCUGGGGAGUACGGUCGCAAGAUUAAAACUCAAAGGAAUAGACGGGGACCCACACAAGCGGUGGGGCAUGUGGUUUAAUUCGACGAUAAACGGGGAACCUUACCAGGGCUUGACAUCUCCGGAAUCCCGAGGAAACUUGGGAGUGCCGUAAGGAACUGGAUGACAGGUGCUGCAUGGUCGUCGUCAGCUCGUGCCUUGAGGUGUUCGGUUAAGUCCGUAAACGAGCGCAACCCAUGUCCUAUGUUGCAUUUUUCAUAGGAGACUGCCGGCUCCAAGUCGGAGGAAGGUAUGGAUGACGUCAGAUCAGCAUGGCCCUUAUGCCCUGGGCUACACACGUGCUACAAUGGCCGGUACAAUGGGUAGCGAACCCGCAAGGGGGAGCCAAUCUCAUCAAAGCCGGUCUCAGUUCGGAUUGGGGGCUGAAAUUCGACCCCAUGAAGUUGGAAUCGCUAGUAACCGCGAAUCAGCUAUGU